Molecule: ribosomal RNA, 253 nt
Filed under: uncultured bacterium
Lineage: Bacteria
Description: partial 16S ribosomal RNA
Rfam family: Bacterial small subunit ribosomal RNA
Source: RNAcentral
UACGUAGGUGGCGAGCGUUGUCCGGAAUGACUGGGCGUAAAGCGCGCGCAGGCGGCCGCCUAAGUCUGGGGUGAAAUCCCGGGGCUCAACCUUGGGCAUGCCUGAGAUACUGGGUGGCUUGAGCAUCGGAGAGGCAAGGGGAAUUCCAUGUGUAGCGGUGAAAUGCGUAGAGAUAUGGAGGAACACCAGUGGCGAAGGCGCCUUGCUGGCCGGUCGCUGACGCUGAGGCGCGAAAGCGUGGGGAGCAAACAGG